This 305-nucleotide ribosomal RNA is filed under the name uncultured bacterium. Its description in RNAcentral is "bacterial SSU rRNA". It matches the Rfam family "Bacterial small subunit ribosomal RNA", at positions 333 to 634 of the family's 1533-position model. The record is from RNAcentral.
AGGCACCUACGGGGGGCAGCAGUGAGGAAUAUUGGUCAAUGGGCUUACGCCUGAACCAGCCAAGUCGCGUGAGGGAAGACUGCCCUAUGGGUUGUAAACCUCUUUUGUCAGGGAGCAACGCCGGCUACGUGUAGCCGGACUGAGAGUACCUGAAGAAAAAGCAUCGGCUAACUCCGUGCCAGCAGCCGCGGUAAUACGUAGGGGGCAAGCGUUAUCCGGAUUUACUGGGUGUAAAGGGAGCGUAGACGGAAAGGCAAGUCAGAAGUGAAAGCCCAAGGCUCAACCAUGGGACUGCUUUUGAAACU